GCGCGCAUUAAAGUUGUAGCAGAUGCAUAGUUACUUAAAAGGUUGAUGUCUUGAUAAGGAUUCGCAUGGAGUAGUAGAAAAUUAGCAACAUAAAAACCUCAUUUGUAACUGUAAGACUACUGAUGAAUUGAGAAUCGUAAAUAUAAUAUUCUUUUAACUGCACUUGCUAUCUUAAACAGACAAGGGAGCAUACAUGCAUACACAUAAUAUGCGCCAAAGAGAAGAAAAAUUCAAACCAAAGACUCAUCCCAAGCAUACCCUAUUCCUUUACCAUCUUGGCCCAAGUCCAGGGCUAAAAUAUCUGUAAUAGGUUGCAAAUAAUUAUUCAAGAAGAUGAUGCGAAUUUCCAAAACAGUACUCAUAAUGAGCUAGUAGCAAAAUUCCAAGAGCUCUGGCAAUUAUAUAACAAAGAAUGUAAAACUAUACUCGUAUAUCAACCAUUUGCAUGGACCAAAACAAUGUAAAUAAAUGCUUUACAGACAAAACCAACCCUAUUGAAUUAGAAAUAUUAAAUGGAU
Molecule: unclassified non-coding RNA, 518 nt
Filed under: Hevea brasiliensis (rubber tree)
Lineage: Eukaryota; Viridiplantae; Streptophyta; Magnoliopsida; Malpighiales; Euphorbiaceae
Source: RNAcentral